This 468-nucleotide ribosomal RNA is filed under the name uncultured bacterium. RNAcentral's name for it is "partial 16S ribosomal RNA". It matches the Rfam family "Bacterial small subunit ribosomal RNA", at positions 28 to 507 of the family's 1533-position model. The record is from RNAcentral.
GACGAACGCUGGCGGCGUGCUUAACACAUGCAAGUCGAACGGAAAGGCCCUGCUUUUGUGGGGUGCUCGAGUGGCGAACGGGUGAGUAACACGUGAGUAACCUGCCCUUGACUUUGGGAUAACUUCAGGAAACUGGGGCUAAUACCGGAUAGGAGCUCCUGCUGCAUGGUGGGGGUUGGAAAGUUUCGGCGGUUGGGGAUGGACUCGCGGCUUAUCAGCUUGUUGGUGUGGUAGUGGCUUACCAAGGCUUUGACGGGUAGCCUGCCUGAGAGGGUGACCGGGCACAUUGGGACUGAGAGACGGAGCAGAAGCGUACGGGAGGCAGCAGUGGGGAAUAUUGCACAAUGGGCGGAAGCGUGAUGCAGCAACGCCGCGUGCGGGAUGACGGGUUUUGGGUUGUAAACAGAUGUCGCCGGUGCUGAAGCGUGAGUGACGGUAAUGGGUAAAGAAGCAACGGCUAACUACGUG